UACGUAGGGGGCGAGCGUUAUCCGGAUUCAUUGGGCGUAAAGCGCGCGUAGGCGGCCGCCUAAGCGGAACCUCUAACCCCGGGGCUCAACCUCGGGCCGGGUUCCGGACUGGGCGGCUCGAGUGCGGUAGAGGAGAGCGGAAUUCCCGGUGUAGCGGUGGAAUGCGCAGAUAUCGGGAAGAACACCGAUGGCGAAGGCAGCUCUCUGGGCCGUCACUGACGCUGAGGCGCGAAAGCUGGGGGAGCGAGCAGG
This 252-nucleotide ribosomal RNA is filed under the name uncultured bacterium. RNAcentral's name for it is "partial 16S ribosomal RNA". It matches the Rfam family "Bacterial small subunit ribosomal RNA", at positions 524 to 776 of the family's 1533-position model. The record is from RNAcentral.